UAAUAGUCAAGCAAUACCUUCUCUAGGUCAGAGGUAUUAUGCCGUGUUCCAAACUGGGAACUCUGAUAUCUCAGACGCGGGAAAAAACUAGAUCCGACGAGAAAAAUCGUUUUGAACGGUCAUACUGGCCUCUUUCUUUAGCUCCGACUUUUAGAGCUGAAGAUCACCGACGUCAGGAUUUUUCAGAGCUCCCAGUUGUCUUGAAAGCACCAUAAAUUGAGAAACCUGCCUAUUUUCCUCAAAAUAAAAAGCAUGAGCUGACGCACACCCAAGAUUUUUUGAGAGGUGCUGCCUGCUGACUGAUGGAGAGAAAACUGUAUAAAAAUAAAGUAAGUCACACACUAUAUAUACUCCCAACAAUUUAAUGGAUAAACAUAACACAAACGCAUCGUUAUCACCACCCUUUGUUGCAGUGUUUAUAUGAAUCUUACAGUACAUCUUUAUAUCUUUAACAGGAUGCAAUUCGCUAGAUGCUAGGGUGGCAGGUAGCCUAGUGGUUAAGAGUGUUGGGUCAGUAACUGAAAGGUCACUGUUUUGAAUACCUGAGCCGAUUAGCUGAAAAAUCUGUCGAUGUGCCCUUGAGCUAGGCACUAAACCUGAAUUUCUCUUCUAAGUUGCUCUGGAUAAGAGUGUCUACUAAAUAAAUAAAUACAAUUCUUGUCAUCAACAGUAGCCUGAGUUAAUUACAGAUAUAGUUCUGCAGCUCAACUAUUAUACUCCUGAGCAAACAUUCCAUAACUGCAGGUGGCAGUAAAUCUUCAACCUUGGCUUCAUAUCUGUUCAAAUAAGACACUCCAGGUGGCAGUAUACACCCUUU
RNAcentral lists this long non-coding RNA (817 nucleotides) under Salmo salar (Atlantic salmon). Its description in RNAcentral is "lncRNA (ENSSSAG00000093513.1)". The record is from RNAcentral. Lineage: Eukaryota; Metazoa; Chordata; Actinopteri; Salmoniformes; Salmonidae.